CAUCCAGAGCAUCUCAAUAUGUCCUGGACAGUGGUCAGCUCCAAUGUGUUCACCUACAGAGUGAUCCAAUGCCACAACCUGCUGGAUGAUGGGAACGACCCACUGCUGUGUGGUCAUAUAGAGGACCAGGAGGAGCUCAAGGCCAUCAGAAGCAACACCAAGCGCAUCAACGGCUUCAUUGUCAUUGAUGAGGCAGUCAAUCAGCUCUAUGGCUCCCAGGUCACCAGGUACUUUGAUGCCAGAAAUGUUCUCUAUAGGAUCCUCCCACUGCCCACUACAGAGGAGAACAGGUCCAUUAAAUGUUCUCUAUAGGAUCAUCCCACUGCCCACUACAGAGGAGAACAGGUCAAUUAAAUGCUUCCAGUCCUGUGACCAGAAGACCAGUGGCUGCUGUGACAUGGAGGAUGCUGCCACUACAUCCCCACAGAUUGCCAUAGAAAUCAUGCUAGAGGAGUUGGCUCCCAACCUAUGGGAAGAUGACCUGGACAGACUGGUGGACAUUGGCCACCUAGUCAGCCCUGAGCUACGAAUGAAAGUGCUGACUGUGCUGCUCCACGGGGAGGCGUGAACAUCGACAUUUCCUUCAUGGUGUACGUGGCCCACCAGAAAGGGCUCCAGACGGAAGAGGAGAAGGCGUGGAUCAGCCGCUGCAUGAUGGAGCUGGAGCUGCCUGUGUGGCACCAAGACUGCACUCUGGCCCUGGUGCAGGAGUCUUUAAACACUCUGCAGGGUCCCUGAGGAUGCCUCUUCAUACAGGACUGUGCAGGUCUGGACAUAUUUCCUUUAAAGGGGAAAGAUAUGUACCCAUUGAUUAUUGAAGAAUAUAAUUUAUAAAUGCCUCAUGAGCUAAGUUUAACUGUCUUACCCCAUCAGAACCCAAAAUAUAAGCUUGUUUUACUCCUAUUUUUGUAAACAAAAUAAAUGUAAACAAACAGCCUCAAAACAUGGUUAUAUCAGUAAUUGUGAUGUCAUCGAUGGUCUGUCCUUGCAACAAUAGCUUCCUCUUUGAAUUUGAGAGUGGUUACAUUUCUCCCACCCCAUCCCUCAGCUUUUUACCAAAAUAGGGGUGGGGAGCCCACUUUUUUAUUGUCUCAACUGCUGAUUGACGCUUUAAGAACACCAUCAAACUGCCUUUUUAAAUCAGAACAUUCCUAGACAUUCCAUACAGUAUGAGUUUUGGAAUUUCCAAAACAAGUAAAUGUAUCCGAUGGGGAUAUGUGAAACUCAAUCCUCAGCCUGAAGUGUUCCUACUUUUGUCACAGAAUAGCUAGCUUUUUGUGUGGCCGGACUGGUAAGACACUUCGGGAGUACAGUCCAGUGUGCUAG
This 1326-nucleotide long non-coding RNA is filed under the name Oncorhynchus kisutch (coho salmon). Its description in RNAcentral is "lncRNA (ENSOKIG00005039704.1)". The record is from RNAcentral. Lineage: Eukaryota; Metazoa; Chordata; Actinopteri; Salmoniformes; Salmonidae.